Molecule: ribosomal RNA, 285 nt
Filed under: uncultured bacterium
Lineage: Bacteria
Description: partial 16S ribosomal RNA
Rfam family: Bacterial small subunit ribosomal RNA
Source: RNAcentral
GUGUCCUACGGGGGGCAGCAGUGGGGGAUAUUGCACAAUGGGGGAAACCCUGAUGCAGCGACCCCGCGUGGGUGAAGAAGCGCUUCGGCGUGUAAAGCCCUAUCAGUGGGGAAGAAAAAGGACGGUACCCAAAGAAGAAGCACCGGCUAAAUACGUGCCAGCAGCCGCGGUAAUACGUAUGGUGCAAGCGUUAUCCGGAAUGACUGGGUGUAAAGGGAGCGUAGACGGUUGUACAAGUCUGGUGUGAAAGCCCACGGCACAACUGUGGGAGGGCAUUGGAAACUG